GAAAAAAACAAAAGCCCUGGCACUGAUGGACUUCCUAUUGACUUUUAUCAGCACUUUUGGGAGUUGGUUAAAUGGGAUCUUAUGAAACUAUUAAAUGACUUUCAUGCUGGGAAGUUGGACACUGCUAGACUUAAUUAUGGAAUCAUCACUCUGGUUCCAAAGUCUGCUGAUGCUAAACAAAUCCAAAAAUUCAGACCAAUAUGCCUGCUCAAUGUUAGCUUUAAAAUCAUUACCAAGGUGCUGAUGAAUAGACUGAGCACGGUUAUUAAACCUAUAAUCCUACCAACUCAAACUGCCUUUAUAAAAGGCAGAUAUAUAAUGGAAGGGAUUGUAGUUUUGCAUGAAGCUCUGAACUCCAAUCAUAAAAAACAAAGUGAUGUUUUGUUUAAAGUGAACUUUGAGAAAGCCUAUGAUAAAAUAAAAUGGCCGUUUGUAUAUAAAAUGCAAAAAUUGAAACAAUUCCGGGACAAAUUUUGA
This 477-nucleotide ribosomal RNA is filed under the name Triticum aestivum (bread wheat). RNAcentral describes it as "partial small subunit ribosomal RNA". Lineage: Eukaryota; Viridiplantae; Streptophyta; Magnoliopsida; Poales; Poaceae. The record is from RNAcentral.